This 301-nucleotide unclassified non-coding RNA is filed under the name plant metagenome. RNAcentral describes it as "partial contains 5.8S ribosomal RNA, internal transcribed spacer 2, and large subunit ribosomal RNA". The stretch from base 1 to 105 matches the Rfam family "5.8S ribosomal RNA", at positions 50 to 154 of the family's 154-position model. The record is from RNAcentral.
GAAAUGCGAUAAGUAGUGUGAAUUGCAGAAUUCAGUGAAUCAUCGAAUCUUUGAACGCACAUUGCGCCCUAUGGUAUUCCGUAGGGCAUGCCUGUUCGAGCGUCAUUUACACCUUCAAGCCUUGCUUGGUGUUGGGUGACUGUGGCCCCUUUGGGGCCACUCGCCUUAAAGUCAUUGGCGGCCGGUUCGUUGGCUUUGUAGCGCAGCACAAUUGCGUCCUCGAAGCCGCUGGACCAGCUCCCAGAAGCUAAUUUUAAAUGUUUGACCACGAAUCAGGUAGGGAUACCCGCUGAACUUAAGC